UCCGGGGUAGCUCAACUGGCAGAUGCGCUCGGCUGUUAACCGAGAGGUUGUGGGUUCGAGUCCCACCCCCGGAG
Molecule: transfer RNA, 74 nt
Filed under: Solirubrobacterales bacterium
Lineage: Bacteria; Bacillati; Actinomycetota; Thermoleophilia; Solirubrobacterales
Also listed under: 3 other names
Description: tRNA-Asn
Rfam family: tRNA
About the family: Transfer RNA (tRNA) molecules are approximately 80 nucleotides in length. Their secondary structure includes four short double-helical elements and three loops (D, anti-codon, and T loops).
Source: RNAcentral